GCCUCUAUAGUUCAAUGGCUAGAAUUGCUGUUUUGUACUCAGCGGAUCUCAGUUCGAUUCUGAGUAGGGGCUCCA
Molecule: transfer RNA, 75 nt
Filed under: marine sediment metagenome
Description: tRNA-Thr
Rfam family: tRNA
About the family: Transfer RNA (tRNA) molecules are approximately 80 nucleotides in length.
Source: RNAcentral